UAAUACGGAGGGGGCUAGCGUUGUUCGGAAUUACUGGGCGUAAAGAGUACGUAGGCGGAUCAAAAAGUUAGAUGUGAAAUCCCUAAGCUUAACUUAGGAACUGCAUUUAAAACUAAUGAUCUAGAAUUUGGUAGGGGAUAGUAGAAUUUCCAGUGUAGAGGUGAAAUUCGUAGAUAUUGGAAAGAAUACCAGUAGCGAAGGCGACUAUCUGGGCCAAAAUUGACGCUGAGGUACGAAAGCGUGGGUAGCAAACAGGAUUAGAUACCCUGGUAGUCCACGCAGUAAACGAUGAGUGCUAGUCGCUGGGUCUUAUGAUUCGGUGUCGAAGCUAACGCAUUAAGCACUCCGCCUGGGAAGUACGGUCGCAAGAUUA
Molecule: ribosomal RNA, 373 nt
Filed under: uncultured Alphaproteobacteria bacterium
Lineage: Bacteria; Pseudomonadati; Pseudomonadota; Alphaproteobacteria
Description: bacterial SSU rRNA
Rfam family: Bacterial small subunit ribosomal RNA
Source: RNAcentral